GGGGGGGGGGGGAAGUAUUAUUUUGGCAAUCUUAGCCAGCUGCCAUCGUCACUAUCUCCCCAUCCACACGGAAUAUGCGUCAUCAGAAAAAAACACUGUCAUCAAGUGAUGACAGGUGAAGUAAAGCCAGGGAUACAUGGAGUUAAUGCUGGUUAGAUACUGUGUGCUCGGUGUCCUCCCUCUGCCACGGUGCCCACCCCCAGGCUUGUUCCUUUUCUUGCACUUCUCACUGGGACAGGCUGGUUCGGAGCCAAUGGUCCGCCCUGCCCUCUCCCAGGGAGGGGGAUGCUCCAGAUUGCCACCAGGCUCCAUGUCAGCACCACCAAGGCUCUUGGAGUGAUGGCAAGAAGCAGGUGAGGGCCUUGGCCAGCAUAGGCUGCAAGUAUUCACCAGCUACACGGGGAAAGAAAACAAACUGGACGGACAUGCUCAAGGGCAUUCCCUGUCUAGGAGGCACCACAGCAGCCAGACCACCAGCCCAGAGGGGCCUCUCCUCUCCAGAGCCCCUGCCUGAAUGGCAGGAGGAGAUGCUCUGCCAGUUUUGCUCUUUAAGGAGAGGCAGGGACUGAAUCAUUAAAUUCUUAUCUGUGUCAUGCUUGUUUGCUUGAGCUUUUGUAGCCUUUUCUCCCACCCAAACUACCUCAAGCGGGAAAGGGGGCUGGAGCAGCUGUGGGAGCCCCCGGCCAUGGCGUACAAAGCCCACUUGUUAUCGGCACUGUCAUAUGCCUCUGUGCCCCCUCCCCCUUCCCAGCCCCACCACAACCGCUACAUCCCGAAAGCACAAGCCGAGCAUCCAUCAAAAGGGCUAUUAUCCCGCGAUUUCUUAACAGCCACUGUUGCUCUUGGGUACGGAGAACCGAGCUCCCCCUUUGACACAGUCCCCCGAGCAAAGGAAUAGCGGUGCCUGUCGCUGGUUGGCAUACUGAUUUGCAGCCCAUCGCAGUGGCCAGGGUGGGAUGGGGGGCUGCUUCCUGCACAUGGGGUUGUGUUAGCGAUUUAGGGCUUCAUUCUGUUCCUACAAGGCCGAUGGGUCCUACAGAGAUCAUACUUCGGGCCUCCAGAUGUUAGCAGUGGGGCUAACUCCCAUGGAGGGUGGUUAAGAGACCACAUGAGGGUUUAAUUCUUUAUGGCUGAUGCUUUUAAUCUGCUCUUCCCAGGAAAGGGGCUGGAUUUUGAGGAUUUUUUGGAGCUGGGUCUCACGAUGUUGUUUUGAACAAAAGGGACACCUAUUUCCCCAGGUAUAUUCUCUUGCUACAGCAAGGUGGGGUGUCAGGGUGGCGACAAUGUCCCCAAGAGCUAGGAGAAGUCCCAGGGGCGGGGGGCAGGGGCUGUGGAGGGCAGCCACACAUCUGCUCCGGCAGGAGCGGGAGGGCUGGGGGAGAAAAGGGGCACGGCAAACAAAGCCACCAACCUAUUUUUCCAGUAGGAAAAGGGUCUGCAGUGCAGGAGAGGCACUUUCCAGGGACGUGCGCAUUGACCAAAGCAGCUUGUUGAGUGGCAGCAGGUAUUAACAUCCCAAGAGCCUGCUGAAGGAUGGCCCUUUGCUCUUUUGCCAGGCCGGCAGUAGGUGCUGGCACUGGUUGCCCCUGGCUCCAUCGCAGGUGCAUUUAUUCUUGCUAUGUAUGAGCAGGCAAACCGGUCGCAGCACAGACAAUGCCACCCCACUUCCACCCGAAAGAUCUACCAGCUGUGACACCAUGGACAAAGCUGCAGUCCUGGCAGUGACAGGAAGACUCCCCAGCACGUCGGGGACCACAGCCAGGAAGAGAUCUGUGCACCCCAGGUGGAAACUAAGAUUUGCUCAGUCACACAGCGUGGACCAUAACUGAUAAAAGGUGUCACAUUUUUUCCUGUUGGUUUUUUUGAGUCCCCUGGAGUAAAAGGCACUGUUGGCACCAGCAGUCUUGGAAACUGGACAGCUUUGCUGGCCGUGAGCGAUGCUGAACCCAGCUCCAGAGAGCUUUGCUUUUUUUUGUCUGCCUACAGAGAAACUCCCUGUUGGUUUAUGCCUGUUUGUCUUCCUGUUCUUGGGGGGUUUCUCUUACAGCUGACACGAUGAAAACAAGACUCGGUGAUGGUCUCGCUUCUGCCAGCAAGGGAUGGUGCUUGAAGCUCUGGUCGGCCUGAAGUUUCCCUUUGUGCCAUCAGGGUUGCUCCGAGCCAUGUGCCUUGCUGCUGAGUCAGCAUUCUGGAAAACAAUACAUUGGAAGAUAUAUGGCUGGCCAAGACAUGUGGUCGCGUCUUAGCGGGCUUUGUGUGCUGCUUUCCACUUGAGAGGGCUUCUUUAUCACAAGUUUUCUUGGCCACUGAGAAAAUACCUAAAAUGAACAAUGAUGAAUACUGUACUGGAGAAGCUACGGGAGUUUACAGCCAUGCAAAAAGCCAUCAUGUUUCAUCUCAGACCUUACAGAACAAUCAUUUUAUGAAAAUUUGAGGUUUUUCAAUUUUCCACUGAAAUCUUUGGACAUAAAGAGGAUGACUUUAUUAGAAAAAAUGAAUUUUCAUUAUCCCAUAAUCCCAAGGCUUCUGGCAUGGGAAAGGUGUUUCUACCUGGGGUGAACAUCUCAGGACAGUUUGCUCAGCAGGUCCAGUGCUGUUCCAGUGUGAACCUAGGAAGAAUUUUAAAUCUGGUUUUCCUUCCCUAAGGUGUCCCUGACUCUUCACUGAGCAGGCAUGGUGAGAAAAUUAUAGCACCUCCGUUAUUAGAAAAUUAUAGCACUCUUAUUGAAAAGAGCAGAGGCUCUUCUUAAACUUCCAGGUAUGAAACGCAGAUGCUUGAAUUUGGGGAAGUUUACCAUCCUCCCAAAUUAGCCAGCCAUACAGACCUCAGCUACAGCCUCAGUUGGGCUGGUUAGGGCUAGGUUCUCUCAUCCAAAUCUUUCAAAAUAGGGAAAACGUGGGAAACUUGGGCCACUCGUUUUCCGAGCUCAUUUUCCCCUCUCACAGAUGAGCCAUGGCUCUGUGCUGGAAGAGAGGUUUCUGUCAUGAUGAAGGCAUUUCUGAGAGCUAAUUUACUUGUUCAACUGGGCACGCUGGCACUGGGUUCCUGCAUGCAAAAAGACGCAGCAAAUUGAUUGCGAGUGGCUUGCUUGAAAGAAGAAGCGGGAGGUGUGGUAAGCAGAUGUCUUCAUGGCAAUCUGGCAGAUUAAGUGGAGGAGUUCCUAUGUUUUCCUGUGUUUCUGCUUACUGUGGGGUCUCUGGACUAUUUUAAUAAGCAAUCAAAAAAGAAGGGAGAGCAUGAGCAGACAGCCGUAACUGCAGAAGACCAGCCAGCUGGGAUGUUUGCAAGCAUAAAGGUUCGUAAGCUGUGGUACUGCCAAAAUUCCCUGAAGAAGAAUUUACUGGGAUGAUUGGUUCCCGAGAGAUAACUAGGUGAUCUUUAAGAGCGGCUCUGGGGAGCAAAUGCAAAAUGAGCAGCGGAGGACAGUGCAGAAGAUGCAGAGGGCUCUCAGUCUGAGCCACGAGGAUUUGAAGAUGUCUGCGUGCAGUGACUUUGUGGAACACGUUUGGAAGCCUGGCUCCUGCAAAAACUGCUUCAACCCAAAGAGUUCCCAUCGGCUGCAAACACCCUCAGACGUGGGAGCACGUGGCGUGCUCCCGAAUGGAGUUAGGACCAAGCCUGAGAGCCCCACGUUGGAAGACGAAAGUGUAAAUACAUCCCCCUUCUCGAAGCCAACAAUUGCUGUGAAGCCAACUAUGAUAAACUCGGAUGUUUCUGACGCGUGGGCGGAUGUGAAUAUGAAUGCAGAUCUGUCACAGGUCAGCUGGGGCAUGGUUUCUGGCAAACAACUCUUUCUGAAAUCAGGAGAAGCGCAGCGGAUCUGCCUCGACAAUUUUGGCAACGGUGGUGUGAGAAAGCCAUUCCUUCACAACCCACCCAGUGACUGCUUGUCUUGCUGUCCUCCUAGCUACUCCAUGGUGGGCCUGCGCAGCCUGGAGAGUCGAGUGGAGAGAAAUGUCUCCAUCCACAGCCUGGUGCUUGUGGGUGAGGUGGGCAAGCAGGAGGACAGAGCCAAAGACAAGUUUGCCCUGCCGCAUCGGGCCCCCUGCCCUAAUCUGUCCACCUUGGGGGACAGAAGCACCACGAACUCCAGCAGAAACCCUUCUUCCCAAGCCAGAGAAGGAGCAGCACUCCCCUCGGAGGCUGACUGCGGUCACUUCUCCUCUGGCUUUGAAAGCGAAGGGGGCGAGUACUGUUCAAUCACGGACUGCUGCAGGGAGCGCCCCAUCUCCUGGGAGCCGCGUUGUGCGGAGGGGAAGGGUGCCCGGUGCGAGAAGGAGAGCCCUGCCCCCUGCGGAUGGAGGCAGCGGGAUGCUCCCGAGAUUCCCAGGCCAAGUGGCAGGGCGGUCAAGUUCGGCGAAGAGGAGCGCAAAGCGGUGAACGUGGCCUUCUGCAUCACGAAAGACCAGGGCGAUCCUCUCCCCUAUGCCCUGUGUUCAGAGAGGAAAAAGCUGGCUCUCCACGCCGAGCCUGCUGCCCUCCCUGAGAGCACAGGGAGCAGCAAGGCGGCUGCCUUUGCUUUGUCCCAGGAGGACGAGGACUCGCUUCUCCCUGGAGAGCCCUCUGCCACCGGAGGCUCCCGGCCUGAGGGUUCGAGCACCCCUCAGCAGGCUCUGGUGGAGCCGCAGCGCCCUCGGCUCACCGAGCCAGCCCACAGUGAUCCCAUCUACGCCGAGAGCACCAAGAGGAAGAAGGCGCAGCUGAAGGCUGUCGGCGGGCAGGCAAAAGCGGAGAAGCUGGCCCGCAGCACUGGCAAGGAGCAAGCUGAUGGGACGUGGAGGGAUGGUGGCUGGGCGUUGGGUGGUGAGAAGGAAUACCAGGACUCCACCGGCCAGGUGGCGGCAAAGAUAACUAUAAUGACGGCACACACCGAGGAUGAUCACAAGACAAUAUUCCUCAGCAGCCCUGAUUCGGCAGUAGGAGUUCAGUGGCCAUGUAUCAGCCCCACUUCCCAUCCCGAUUUUGGGACUUCAUCACCUGCCAUGGAGCCUGGAGAGAUUUUUCAAGCAUCUGGAAGUGAGAACAGCCCAAGAUUUCAUCUGGCAGCUCCUGCCAAGACCUCAGUUACUGAAAGUCCAGCCAUUCCCCCAAAGAUGUCCAAAAACAGCCAGCCAGGCAGCGAGGGGAACCGUGUGCCCCCGGUCAGCUCCCACGUGGCAAGGUUUGGUGAUGACAACAGCCAUGACGGAGCUGGUGUUCAGCUGCUGCCGAGGAGCUAUACUGAUACGGGUGCCUUUGGGGCAUCCCCUUUUCCAUGCACUCAGGUCAACGGGGUCUCUGUGGAGGAGUCCAGCAGAGGCCUGGCAGGCUUAUCCUAUGACAGGAGGCAGAAAUACUAUAUCCCAACGUGGACCAAGCAGUGCCGGAUAGAGGAGGAGGAGGAGCAGGAGGAGGAGCAGGAGCUCUUAACCCACCCAUGGGCAGUGGGAGCUGAGAAUGGAAGAGCUGGUGCUGACCUUGUGGAUGACGGCCCGAUGCUGGAGAGUCAGACCGGGAUCAGCAAAUCGUCGUCUUUCUCCUUUGAGUUCCCUAAAGACAAGAGUAAUGGCGUGGAGUUUGCACCACCGCCACCGCCGCCGAAAAAGCAGUCCAGGCACACUCUGAAAAUGAACCCGAGUAACGCUGAGUUAGAGAGGGUCAGCAACAGCUCUGCCGAGAGCCUCAGCCCACCUUUCAGGAGCGUCCACGUCAGCUUCACCGCUGGCUCCACUGACAGCCUCGACUCGGACACACAAACUGGCAGUGAUGGCAGGCGCUCAUCUGAGCCAAACCACUCGCCCCCUCCAGCUGAGAGCCAAGUGUUUCCCCCUGUCCCUUUCCUUCCUGCCUCCGGUGAGGAUGGUUCCUCCUCUGCCCCCAGCUGCCCACCCCCUCUGCCCCAGAAGAAGACAGUAAGCAGAACGGUGUCCUCCCCAGAUGGCUUUUUUGGGGGACAGGCGUCUUCAGGCAGAGCAGCCGGUGGUGCCAGCCCCAGGCUGAAUGUCAGCCACUCUGAGAGCAACGUCUGCCUCCGAGAGGAGCCUCCCUUCAUCCACCCAGCCAGCCUGGGGGGCCGCCCUGGCACCUUCUCCUCCUCUGAGUCCCUGGAGAAAGGCUCCAAAGGAAACAGCUACUGGGGUUCAGCCACUGGUAAGAGCACAGGGGCUUGCAUCCCCAGCAGAAACCUCCAGUCCCUUUCCUCCUCGCAGCUCAGUGUGUCCAGCCAGGUGUCAUCGGGCUCCAGCCUCCAGCUUCACAACCUCCUGAGCAACAUCGACAGCAAGGAGGGGGUAUACGCCAAGCUGGGGGCCCUCUACGCCGAGUCCUUGCGCCGCCUGGUUGCCAAGUGUGAGGACUGCUUCAUGCGGGAGCAGAAGAAUGAGCUGCACUUCAGUGAGAACAACUGGUCGCUCUUCAAGCUGGCGUGCAACAAGCCCUGUUGCGAUUCGGGGGAUGCAAUAUAUUACUGUGCCACCUGCUCCAAGGACCCUUCUACCACCUAUGCUGUGAAGAUUUGUAAAACCCAGGAGUCCAAGGUGGCUGCUUCAUACUGCAGCCCUGCAGUGCCAGUCCACUUCAACAUCCAGCAGGACUGUGGGCAUUUUGUGGCCUCUGUCCCCUCCAGCAUGCUGCUGGCCUCAGAUGUGGGGAAAAGCAUGCCUGGGGAUGGCCUCCAUCCCUCCCGCACUGCCAGUGAGCACGACUGUGUGGUGGUCAUUACCCGGGAGGUGCCAAGCCAGACCACUGCUGACUUCGUGAGGGACUCGGUGAUGUUGCACCAAGCCAAGCCCGAGCUGUACGAACGUCGCGUUUGCUUCUUGCUCCUCCAGCUCUGCAAUGGCCUGGAGCAUCUCAAAGAGCACGGCAUCAUCCAUCGUGACCUGUGCCUGGAGAACCUCCUGCUUGUCCCCUGCAAGCCCCCCAUGAGCUGUGUGAAAGCCAAAGAUGACAAACACUUACCCCGCCUCAUCAUCAGCAAUUUUUUGAAAGCCAAACAGAAGCCAGGAAGUGGAGACUCCAAACUGAAGAAGAGUCAGGCCCGGCUGGCCCCGGAGAUUGUGUCGGCUUCUCAGUACAAGAAGUUUGAUGAGUUUCAGACUGGUAUUCUCAUCUACGAGCUGCUGCACCAGCCCAACCCCUUUGAGGAGAAGGUGCACCUCAGGGAGCAGGAGUACAGCCCUGAGGACCUCCCUGCUCUGCCCUGCCUGUCCAUCUACUCCCGCGGGCUCCAGCAGCUGGCCCACCUGCUACUGGAAGCGGAUCCCAUCAAGCGUGUGCGGAUCACCGAGGCCAAGCGGAUGCUGCAGUGUCUGCUUUGGGGGCCCCGGAAAGACCUCACUGAGCAGCCCCUCAGCCAUGAGGAAGCCCUCUGCCAGGUGCUUCAGAAUUGGGUGGACAUGAAGCGUGCCCUGCUCAUGAUGAAGUUUGCAGAGAGGGCUGUGGACAUGGAGCGGAGCAUUGAACUGGAAGACUGGCUGUGCUGCCAGUACUUAGCAUCUGCUGAGCCGGCCUCCCUUUCACACACAUUAAAACUGCUGCAGCUGCUCUGACCUUGGAUGUGUCUUGGAGGCAGCAGAGGGCUCCCGGUUGCCUUGCAGCUAAAGGUGGCAGGAGCCUUCUGGCUUGGGAACCACUGUCCCAUGGACCAUCCUGGACACAUCACCCUGGAAAGUCUGGUCCUGGCUUGCUGCAUGUGGUCUCACAUGGGCCAGCAAAGUGAUGAAACAGCUGGAGAACCUGCCUGAAGGAGCCCAGCAUGUUUUUCAGAGAUAAGAUGAAGAGAUGACUCAGUUUCUAAGCAUGGAUGUAGGGAAUAAGUUGGAGGCAGCUCUGCAGGACAGCACUGAAGGAGACAGGGCCUGGUCCUGACAAAUGCAAGCUGUGCUGGCAACGGGGAGAUUAUAUGUGGGGCAAGUGGCUUGCAAGGCUUGGGAUGGGUACUCAGUGGGACUCAAGAGGAAGAAGCCAAACAACCCACAUAAAACAAGGCUAGAUUGAUUUUGCAUGCUGAGUUUCAGUUUUGUGACAAACACUGAUACAGGUAUUGACACAGGUCCUGCACGGUGUGGGAUGUUAACGUGAUCAAAAUUUUUUUCCCUUGAGUUUGGGCACUUAAGACUGGUUCUGGUGUUGGUCCUGGUACCCUGCAGCAGCAUGCCCAGCAGACCAGAGGCCAACAAUAGUCUUGUAGCAUUUUCAGCUAUAUUAUUUUGAUAUUUGGUGGGUGGCUUCUUGCUGUCAUAUAAACAGAAACUUUUCGCUCCAUGCUUUCCUGAUACCUUCCCCUAUGGUAGCUCAUGUUUCUUCCACAGCCUGAACAGGCUUUUGGGUCCUAGGCCAGUGCGUGAACUGGAGAAGUGCAUUAGGAUUUCUGCUGUGUAUCUUUGUGGGGAAAGUGACACCUAAGCCUCAGUUGAAUGCCACAGCUGAGUCCGAGGACUUUGCUGGCUUACUCUCCCUUGCCUACGCUGUCCUCAGCACACCAUGGGCAGCAGCCCCCCUUUUCCCAGCAGCAUUCUUGCCCCCGUGCCCAGGAUCCUCUGCAAGAAUGGUGGAGGGGAUGGACCAUCCCUCUUCCCCGUGUGGCAGGGGACACAGCUGACCCAGCACCCCAGGGGCCAAGCAUGUCACCCACUUGGUGGGGGGCGGGUAUUGCAGGAGACAUCUAAUUGGGAGUACGGUUUGGGGUCUGCAUGCCACAGAGACAGUGCUGAGGAGCAAUUGCUGGAGGAGUACCACAUAGGAGUACCACCUAUGCAUCUCGGUAGUACCGCUGGGUGGGGAAAGGGGUGUUUCUUGUCUUGUGCUGCCCUCAGACAGAUUGCCAGCCCCUUUCCCUGUGCCCAGGCCCCCACUGGUCUGGUGACCUCACCUCCCUGCUUCAGAGCAUCCCUCAAAGCUGGGGGAUAUCCCAGAA
Aquila chrysaetos chrysaetos is the source of this 8897-nucleotide RNA transcript. It is a transcript of the gene named PEAK1 related, kinase-activating pseudokinase 1, with no coding region annotated. The record is from RefSeq and is a predicted model, not a curated record. NCBI's taxonomy places the organism in Eukaryota, Metazoa, Chordata, Aves, Accipitriformes, Accipitridae. The transcript is spliced from 7 exons.